This 491-nucleotide ribosomal RNA is filed under the name uncultured bacterium. RNAcentral describes it as "partial 16S ribosomal RNA". It matches the Rfam family "Bacterial small subunit ribosomal RNA", at positions 29 to 506 of the family's 1533-position model. The record is from RNAcentral.
AUUGAACGCUGGCGGCAUGCUUUACACAUGCGAGUCGAACGGUAACAGGCCUUCGGGUGCUGACGAGUGGCGAACGGGUGAGUAAUGCAUCGGAACGUACCCAGAGGUGGGGGAUAACGCAGCGAAAGCUGUGCUAAUACCGCAUGUGAUCUGAGGAUGAAAGCGGGGGACCGAGCAGCAAUGUUUGGCCUCGCGCCUUUGGAGCGGCCGAUGUCGGAUUAGCUAGUUGGUGGGGUAAAGGCCUACCAAGGCGACGAUCCGUAGCUGGUCUGAGAGGACGACCAGCCACACUGGGACUGAGACACGGCCCAGACUCCUACGGGAGGCAGCAGUGGGGAAUUUUGGACAAUGGGCGCAAGCCUGAUCCAGCAAUGCCGCGUGCGGGAAGAAGGCCUUCGGGUUGUAAACCGCUUUUGGCAGGAACGAAACGGUGUCCGCUAAUACCGGGCGCUAAUGACGGUACCUGCAGAAUAAGCACCGGCUAACUACGU